RNAcentral lists this ribosomal RNA (253 nucleotides) under uncultured bacterium. Its description in RNAcentral is "partial 16S ribosomal RNA". It matches the Rfam family "Bacterial small subunit ribosomal RNA", at positions 524 to 776 of the family's 1533-position model. The record is from RNAcentral.
UACGAGAGGCGCAAACGUUAUUCGGAAUUACUGGGCUUAAAGAGUUCGUAGGCGGCGCAGAAAGUAGGGUGUGAAAGCCCUCGGCUUAACCGAGGAAUUGCGCUCUAAACUACUGUGCUUGAGGAAGCUAGAGGUGAGCGGAACUGAUGGUGGAGCGGUGAAAUGCGUUGAUAUCAUCAGGAACACCGGAGGCGAAGGCGGCUCACUGGGGCUUAUCUGACGCUGAGGAACGAAAGCCAGGGGAGCGAACGGG